AUCGACCUCGCGGCUUGGUACGCCGUCGUCGUCCCUUCCCAUCCUGGCGGUGCAUAAGCCGCCAAGGGUGAGUCUGCUCGCCUAUUAAAGGGGAAUGCGAGAUGGGUUUAGACCGUCGUGAGACAGGUCGGACUCUACCUGCUGGAGGUGCUGGCCGCCUGAGGGGAGCACGUCCUCAGUACGAAAGGAACGGGGCGUGGCGGCCUCUGGUGAACCAGCUGUCCGGUAGGGCAAGCUGGGCAGCUACGCCGCCGGGGAUAAGGGCUGAAGGCAUCUAAGCCCGAAGCCCCUCCCGAAAAUAGGCGGCCAAUCC
RNAcentral lists this ribosomal RNA (313 nucleotides) under Candidatus Bathyarchaeota archaeon. Its description in RNAcentral is "partial 23S ribosomal RNA". It matches the Rfam family "Archaeal large subunit ribosomal RNA", at positions 2573 to 2886 of the family's 2987-position model. The record is from RNAcentral. Lineage: Archaea; Thermoproteati; Candidatus Bathyarchaeota.